RNAcentral lists this microRNA (22 nucleotides) under Human betaherpesvirus 5. RNAcentral describes it as "hcmv-miR-US25-2-5p". Lineage: Duplodnaviria; Heunggongvirae; Peploviricota; Herviviricetes; Herpesvirales; Orthoherpesviridae. The record is from RNAcentral.
GCGGUCUGUUCAGGUGGAUGAG